This 253-nucleotide ribosomal RNA is filed under the name uncultured bacterium. RNAcentral describes it as "partial 16S ribosomal RNA". It matches the Rfam family "Bacterial small subunit ribosomal RNA", at positions 524 to 776 of the family's 1533-position model. RNAcentral also lists the same sequence under 1 other name. The record is from RNAcentral.
AACGUAGGAGACGAGCGUUAUCCGGAUUUACUGGGCGUAAAGCGCGUGUAGGAGGCGCUACAAGUUGGAUGUGAAAGCUCCCGGCUUAACUGGGAGAGGUCGUUCAAGACUGUAGAGCUAGAGUGAGGCAGAGGUAGAUGGAACUCCGGGAGUAGUGGUGAAAUGCGUAGAUAUCCGGAAGAACACCAGAGGCGAAAGCGAUCUACUGGACCUAAACUGACACUGAGACGCGAAAGCCAGGGUAGCAAACGGG